AUGUCGGGCCCAGUUUAUUUAGUUUUUUGGGGCACCUAUACUGGGCUAACAUUUAGAGAGCUCAUAUUGUUCAUGCAAAUUAUAUUAUCAUUGUCGUCGAAUGCUAAUAUUGAUCAUGAUAUAGGCUGCUUCAAUAGUAGUAUUCUGAGUAUGGAUUCAAGAACUAAGGCCGGUGGUAUUGAGUUAGGUGCUGAAUUUGCCCUUGUGCGCAGAGAUCAACCUAUUCUUGAUAAUGAGGAUUUGGUAAGGAAAGUUUCUGAUUGCAAGACAAUUGUUGAAGCUUUCUCUUCAGCAUACUUAAUUGCCUGGCCUUCAACUUUUGAAAGCUAA
This 330-nucleotide ribosomal RNA is filed under the name Triticum aestivum (bread wheat). Its description in RNAcentral is "partial small subunit ribosomal RNA". Lineage: Eukaryota; Viridiplantae; Streptophyta; Magnoliopsida; Poales; Poaceae. The record is from RNAcentral.